This 406-nucleotide ribosomal RNA is filed under the name uncultured bacterium. RNAcentral describes it as "partial 16S ribosomal RNA". It matches the Rfam family "Bacterial small subunit ribosomal RNA", at positions 30 to 526 of the family's 1533-position model. The record is from RNAcentral.
AUUGAACGCUGGCGGCAGGCCUAACACAUGCAAGUCGAACGAGUGGCGGACGGGUGAGUAAUGUCUGGGAAACUGCCCGAUGGAGGGGGAUAACUCCUGGAAACGGUAGCUAAUACCCCUUACCACCGGUUGUGCCCAGAUGGGAUUAGCGAGUAGGUGGGGUAAGGGCGCACCUAGGCGACGAUCCCUAGCUGGUCUGAGAGGAUGACCAGUCACACUGGAACUGAGACACGGUCCAGACUCCUACGGUAGGCAGCAGUGGGGAAUAUUGCACAAGGGGCGCAAGCCUGAUGCAGCCAUGCCGCGUGUAUGAAGAAGGCCUUCGGGUUGUAAAGGACUUUCAGCGAGGAGGCGUUACUCGCAGAAGAAGCACCGGCUAACUCCGUGCCAGCAGCCGCGGUAAUAC